RNAcentral lists this ribosomal RNA (253 nucleotides) under uncultured bacterium. RNAcentral's name for it is "partial 16S ribosomal RNA". It matches the Rfam family "Bacterial small subunit ribosomal RNA", at positions 524 to 776 of the family's 1533-position model. The record is from RNAcentral.
UACGGGGGGGGCAAGCGUUGUUCGGAAUUACUGGGCGUAAAGCGCGCGUAGGCGGCCCGGUAAGUCCGUUGUGAAAGUCAAAGGCUCAACCUUUGAACGCCGAUGGAUACUGCCGGGCUAGAGUCCGGAAGAGGCGAGUGGAAUUCCUGGUGUAGCGGUGGAAUGCGCAGAUAUCAGGAGGAACACCAAUAGCGAAGGCAGCUCGCUGGGACGGUACUGACGCUGAGGCGCGAAAGCGUGGGGAGCGAGCAGG